UUUUGAUGGAUAGGGGGUCGUGAGUAACCGGUCUGGCAAUGUUGUCGGGGGUUAGAUGUUGAACCUUCUUGUGUGUAAGUUUCCUAGCGUGGGUCGUAUAGGUACAUAUCCUCGGCAAUGAACUCAAAUCCAAUAGAUAUGUACCAAGCCAUAUAAUUACGACUUAGUUUUUCUUCAGUUGGCAUCAUAACUUCAGUUAAGACAUGGUCUUGGCAGUGCUUCCAUUUU
This 228-nucleotide long non-coding RNA is filed under the name Lathyrus oleraceus (garden pea). Its description in RNAcentral is "Pisum sativum (pea) long non-coding RNA (PSAT_LNC015494)". Lineage: Eukaryota; Viridiplantae; Streptophyta; Magnoliopsida; Fabales; Fabaceae. The record is from RNAcentral.